GGAAGGCCUUGCAGGCACUCGAUAAACACUACUGAUUAAGCGAUUGGAUUUUGUGGCCACAACACCAAGGGCCGAUGUGGAUCUGUAGUUACAACGGCUUAUGAUGAAUGAUUCUUCCUUCCUCUUAGACCCACUACACUGGAAAGGACUCUGAACUCCUUGCAAUGAAUCUAAUCCCCUCAGGUAGACCACCUCUUUGAAAAAGAAACUUCACUUGCAGCAGAUACCGUGGCCUGCCCGAUGUUAUUGAUCAAAGGGACCUCACAGGCUGCAGUUUCCUCUGCCUUAAGGGUUACCACCUCUGAGAUUUCCAAAAUCUGCUGAGAAGCGGCUCAUUUGGACUUGAAAGCUCUUACCAGUGGCAAGGAGCGUUGCCUGUGCUGCACCAUUUGCUGAGGAAAGUGCUACCUGAUGUGCCUCAAGGCUAAAACCUUUCCACUUGAACCUGAGAAGAGUACCCUUUCAAAAUCCAUUUCCUUGAGGCUUCAUUAGAGGAUUUAAUGCAAUUUAACAAGUCUAACUUUGAAACUGUGGCCUAAUGGGAAGACCAUGAGACCGAGAGACAGGAGACCGGGGUUCUCUGCCACUGGUCUCCUACAUGACAGUGGCAGAUUGGAGGACCCACUGAAAAGUUUGCUUGCACAAGACUGUUACAGCUAAGUAAGUGAGUGAUGAGGUGAAGGGGUGAGAGAGAGGAGGGGAGGCAGAGAGGAGAACACUUGGAAAAAAAAAAUAACCUCCCACAAAGCCAAAUCAAACAGUCUCUCUUUUGAGCAGGAGAGGUUCUGAGGAGUCAUUUCUGCUCCGCUCGGCUAUUUUUGACCUUAAAAGUACUGUCUGCAGCUCAGUCCAGCUUCUGCUGCACAUAUUG
Molecule: long non-coding RNA, 871 nt
Organism: Ornithorhynchus anatinus (platypus)
Lineage: Eukaryota; Metazoa; Chordata; Mammalia; Monotremata; Ornithorhynchidae
Exons: 4
Source: RefSeq, a predicted model, not a curated record